CUUGAGAGUGUCCUCGUACUGCUUCUUCUGAGCUCCAUGUGAAUGCCUGCCUUGUAGCCUCCCAAACGCUGAGCUGGCUUUGGCCAUGCGUGCAUCAACCUCAUCAUCUGCAUAUACACCCUUGGAAAGUAUACUGCCAAGGCCAGCCUCCAUCAAGACCCAGCAACCCCAGGUUCUUUUGCUUCACCAAAGUUGCCUUGUUUUGCACCCACAUGUCUGCUGACCUCUGAAUCCACAGGAAAAACGAGACACAAUGUCCACUCUACUAAUUUGAUUGAAAA
Molecule: non-coding RNA, 281 nt
Organism: Phascolarctos cinereus (koala)
Lineage: Eukaryota; Metazoa; Chordata; Mammalia; Diprotodontia; Phascolarctidae
Source: RefSeq, a predicted model, not a curated record